UUAACACAUGCAAGUCAAACGGGAAGUGGUGUUUCCAGUGGCGAACGGGUGAGUAACGCGUAAGAACCUGCCCUUGGGAGGGGAACAACAACUGAAAACGGUUGCUAAUACACCGUAGGCUGAGGAGCAAAAGGAGAAAUCCGCCCAAGGAGAGGCUCGCGUCUGAUUAGCUAGUUGGUGAGGUAAUAGCUUACCAAGGCGAUGAUCAGUAGCUGGUCCGAGAGGAUUAACAUUUUUGAAAUACAAGAAUAAUUUUUUUAACACAUGGUGA
This 271-nucleotide non-coding RNA is filed under the name Triticum aestivum (bread wheat). Its description in RNAcentral is "Bacterial small subunit ribosomal RNA". It matches the Rfam family "Bacterial small subunit ribosomal RNA", at positions 48 to 347 of the family's 1533-position model. The record is from Rfam by way of RNAcentral. Lineage: Eukaryota; Viridiplantae; Streptophyta; Magnoliopsida; Poales; Poaceae.